This 465-nucleotide ribosomal RNA is filed under the name uncultured bacterium. Its description in RNAcentral is "partial 16S ribosomal RNA". It matches the Rfam family "Bacterial small subunit ribosomal RNA", at positions 338 to 795 of the family's 1533-position model. The record is from RNAcentral.
CCUACGGGUGGCAGCAGUAGGGAAUCUUCCACAAUGAGCGAAAGCCUGAUGGAGCAACGCCGCGUGCGUGAUGAAGGUCUUCGGAUCGUAAAACCCUGUUGUUAGAGAAGAACGUUUGUAAGAGUAAAUGUUUACGUUUCGACGGUAUCUAUCCAGAAAGCCAUGGCUAACUAAGUGCCAGCAGCCGCGGUAAUACGUAGGUGGCAAGCGUUAUCCGGAUUUAUUGGGCGUAAAGGGUACGCAGGCGGUCUGUUAAGUCUGGUGUUAAAUCCCUGGGCUUAACCCGAGGAGUGCAUUGGAUACUGGGAGACUGGAGUGAGGAAGAGGGGAGUGGAACUCCAUGUGUAGCGGUGAAAUGCGUAGAUAUAUGGAAGAACACCAGAGGCGAAGGCAGCUUACUGGGCUGUAACUGACGCUGAGGGACGAAAGCGUGGGUAGCAAACAGGAUUAGAUACCCGAGUAGUC